This 497-nucleotide ribosomal RNA is filed under the name uncultured bacterium. Its description in RNAcentral is "partial 16S ribosomal RNA". It matches the Rfam family "Bacterial small subunit ribosomal RNA", at positions 28 to 507 of the family's 1533-position model. The record is from RNAcentral.
GAUGAACGCUGGCGGCGUGCCUAAUACAUGCAAGUCGAGCGAACAGACGAGGAGCUUGCUCCUCUGACGUUAGCGGCGGACGGGUGAGUAACACGUGGAUAACCUACCUAUAAGACUGGGAUAACUUCGGGAAACCGGAGCUAAUACCGGAUAAUAUAUUGAACCGCAUGGUUCAAUAGUGAAAGACGGUUUUGCUGUCACUUAUAGAUGGAUCCGCGCCGCAUUAGCUAGUUGGUAAGGUAACGGCUUACCAAGGCAACGAUGCGUAGCCGACCUGAGAGGAUGAUCAGCCACACUGGAACUGAGACACGGUCCAGACUCCUACGGGAGGCAGCAGUAGGGAAUCUUCGACAAUGGGCGAAAGCCUGACCGAGCAACACCGCGUGAGUGAUGAAGGUCUUCGGAUCGUAAAGCUCUGUUAUUAGGAAAGAACAAAUGUGUAAGUAACUAUGCACGUCUUGACGGUACCUAAUCAGAAAGCCACGGCUAACUACGUG